RNAcentral lists this ribosomal RNA (301 nucleotides) under uncultured bacterium. RNAcentral's name for it is "partial 16S ribosomal RNA". It matches the Rfam family "Bacterial small subunit ribosomal RNA", at positions 509 to 807 of the family's 1533-position model. The record is from RNAcentral.
CAGUCGCCGCGGUAAUACGAAGGGGGCUAGCGUUGUUCGGAUUUACUGGGCGUAAAGGGCGCGUAGGCGGGCUGAUAAGUCAGGGGUGAAAUCCCAAGGCUCAACCUUGGAACUGCCUUUGAUACUGUUUGUCUUGAGUUCGAGAGAGGUAAGUGGAACUGCGAGUGUAGAGGUGAAAUUCGUAGAUAUUCGCAAGAACACCAGUGGCGAAGGCGGCGACCUGGGCCAUUACUGACGCUCAUGCACGAAAGCGUGGGGAGCAAACAGGAUUAGAUACCCCCGUAGUCCCUGUCUCUUAUAC